This 440-nucleotide ribosomal RNA is filed under the name uncultured bacterium. RNAcentral's name for it is "partial 16S ribosomal RNA". It matches the Rfam family "Bacterial small subunit ribosomal RNA", at positions 338 to 795 of the family's 1533-position model. The record is from RNAcentral.
CCUACGGGAGGCAGCAGUGGGGAAUAUUGCACAAUGGGCGAAACCCUGAUGCAGCGACGCCGCGUGAGUGAAGAAGGAUUUCGGAAUGUAAAGCUCUGUUAGUAGGGAAGAAAAUGAAGGUACGUGACUCUGAAGCCACGGAUAACAACGUGCCAGCACCCGUGGGAAAACGAAGGGAGCAAGCGUUAUCCGGCUUUACUGGGCUUAAAGGGAGCGUAGGCGGUUGGGUAAGUGUGGAGUGAAAGCGGGGGGCUCAACCUCGGGACUGCCUUGGAAACUGCCAGGCUGGAGUGCAGGAGAGGUAAGUGGAAUUCCUGGUGUAGCGGUGAAAUGCGUAGAUAUUAGGAAGAACACCGGUGGCGAAGGCGGCUUACUGGGCUGUAACUGACGUUGAGGCUCGAAAGCGUGGGGAGCAAACAGGAUUAGAUACCCCAGUAGUC